UACGUAGGGUGCGAGCGUUAAUCGGAAUUACUGGGCGUAAAGCGUGCGCAGGCGGUUUUGUAAGCCAGAUGUGAAAUCCCCGGGCUUAACCUGGGAAUGGCAUUUGGGACUGCAAGGCUGGAGUGCGGCAGAGGAGACUGGAAUUCCUGGUGUAGCAGUGAAAUGCGUAGAUAUCUGGAGGAACACCGGUGGCGAAGGCGGCAUCCUGGACCGGUAUUGACGCUGAGGCGCGAAAGCCAGGGGAGCAAACGGG
Molecule: ribosomal RNA, 253 nt
Filed under: uncultured bacterium
Lineage: Bacteria
Description: partial 16S ribosomal RNA
Rfam family: Bacterial small subunit ribosomal RNA
Source: RNAcentral